UAGGGAAUCUUCCACAAUGGGCGAAAGCCUGAUGGAGCAACGCCGCGUGGGUGAAGAAGGUCUUCGGAUCGUAAAACCCUGUUGUUAGAGAAGAAAGUGCGUGAGAGUAACUGUUCACGUUUCGACGGUAUCUAACCAGAAAGCCACGGCUAACUACGUGCCAGCAGCCGCGGUAAUACGUAGGUGGCAAGCGUUAUCCGGAUUUAUUGGGCGUAAAGGGAACGCAGGCGGUCUUUUAAGUCUGAUGUGAAAGCCUUCGGCUUAACCGGAGUAGUGCAUUGGAAACUGGGAGACUUGAGUGCAGAAGAGGAGAGUGGAACUCCAUGUGUAGCGGUGAAAUGCGUAGAUAUCACGCAGAACUCCGAUUGCGAAGGCAGCGUACCGGCGCCCAACUGACGCUGAAGCACGAAGGCGUGGGGUAUCGAACAGGAUUAGAUACCC
Molecule: ribosomal RNA, 441 nt
Filed under: uncultured bacterium
Lineage: Bacteria
Description: bacterial SSU rRNA
Rfam family: Bacterial small subunit ribosomal RNA
Source: RNAcentral